Molecule: ribosomal RNA, 465 nt
Filed under: uncultured bacterium
Lineage: Bacteria
Description: partial 16S ribosomal RNA
Rfam family: Bacterial small subunit ribosomal RNA
Source: RNAcentral
CCUACGGGGGGCAGCAGUGGGGAAUUUUGGACAAUGGGCGCAAGCCUGAUCCAGCUAUUCCGCGUGUGGGAAGACGGCCUUCGGGUUGUAAACCACUUUUGUAGAGAACGAAAAGUCUAUUGAUAAUACCAAUAGAUGAUGACGGUACUCUAAGAAUAAGCACCGGCUAACUACGUGCCAGCAGCCGCGGUAAUACGUAGGGUGCGAGCGUUAAUCGGAAUUACUGGGCGUAAAGGGUGUGCAGGCGGUUUUGCAAGAUGGAUGUGAAAGCCCCGGGCGUAACCUGGGAAAGCCAUACAUGACUGCAAGACUAGAGUGCGUCAGAGGGGGGUGGAAUUCCAAGUGUAGCAGUGAAAUGCGUAGAUAUUUGGAAGAACACCGAUGGCGAAGGCAGCCCCCUGGGACGCAACUGACGCUCAUACACGAAAGCGUGGGGAGCAAACAGGAUUAGAUACCCUUGUAGUC